CCCCACCAAAGCCUGUAAAGCUCCGCCCUUCAGGCCUGUCACUCACUUCCUUCCCACCAGAGACUGAAGAACAAAGGAACUAUCCGCCUUCUAGAUUCCCUUUGAUUCAUACCUUGAAAGAAAAGAGAGCAGUUUAAUCCUGUGGAUGCAUGAAAUGAUAUAAAAUCAUCCCCAGCUAACGAAACCGUUGUCAACCAUCAGAUUGAAAAAGAAAAUGUUAAACGGCCUGCUGGAUCCAGUCUUUUAAUGUGUGGGAUG
Long non-coding RNA from Trematomus bernacchii (emerald rockcod), 258 nucleotides. RefSeq lists it as uncharacterized. NCBI's taxonomy places the organism in Eukaryota, Metazoa, Chordata, Actinopteri, Perciformes, Nototheniidae. The transcript has 3 exons. The record is from RefSeq and is a predicted model, not a curated record.